Molecule: ribosomal RNA, 553 nt
Filed under: uncultured bacterium
Lineage: Bacteria
Description: bacterial SSU rRNA
Rfam family: Archaeal small subunit ribosomal RNA
Source: RNAcentral
AGUGAAUAGAUACCCCGGUAGUCCUAGCCGUAAACGAUACUCGCUAGGUGUCGGCCACGGUGCGACCGUUGUCGGUGCCGUAGGGAAAGCCGUGAAGCGAGCCACCUGGGAAGUACGGCCGCAAGGCUGAAACUUAAAGGAAUUGGCGGGGGAGCACCACAACGGGUGGAGCUUGCGGUUUAAUUGGAUUCAACGCCGGAAAUCUUACCGGGACCGACAGCAAUAUGAAGGCCAGGCUGAAGACUUUGCCGGAUUAGCUGAGAGGUGGUGCAUGGCCGUCGUCAGUUCGUACUGUGAAGCAUCCUGUUAAGUCAGGCAACGAGCGAGACCCACGCCCACAGUUGCCAGCGUACUCUCCGGAGUGACGGGUACACUGUGGGGACCGCCGCUGCUAAAGCGGAGGAAGGAAUGGGCAACGGUAGGUCAGUAUGCCCCGAAUAUCCCGGGCUACACGCGAGCUACAAUGGUUGGUACAAUGGGUAUCUACCCCGAAAGGGGAUGGAAAUCUCCUAAAGCCAAUCUUAGUUCGGAUUGAGGGCUGCAACUCGCCCUC